UACGGAGGGUGCAAACGUUGCUCGGAAUCAUUGGGCGUAAAGCGCACGUAGGCGGCCUGACAAGUCGGGUGUGAAAGCCCUGGGCUCAACCCAGGAAGUGCACUCGAAACUGCCAGGCUUGAAUAUGGAAGAGGGUCGCGGAAUUCCCGGUGUAGAGGUGAAAUUCGUAGAUAUCGGGAGGAACACCAGUGGCGAAGGCGGCGACCUGGGCCAAUAUUGACGCCGAGGUGCGAAAGCGUGGGGAGCAAACAGG
RNAcentral lists this ribosomal RNA (253 nucleotides) under uncultured bacterium. RNAcentral describes it as "partial 16S ribosomal RNA". It matches the Rfam family "Bacterial small subunit ribosomal RNA", at positions 524 to 776 of the family's 1533-position model. The record is from RNAcentral.